UUAUAUGUGGUAUGUGAGAGUGAGAAUUGUGUUAUCUUAAAUGUAUUAUUUAUAUUGUGUUAAUUCUAUUUUGUGUUCCUGUGUGUUUGUUAUGAUAUAGAGAAUCAGUGGAACCAUUCCAUAGUGUAUAAAUGAAGAUGAUAAUGUUGAUGAAGAAUUGCCUGAUAGAAAUGUUGUAUGUGGUGAAAGCACAAACCGC
Molecule: long non-coding RNA, 199 nt
Filed under: Lathyrus oleraceus (garden pea)
Lineage: Eukaryota; Viridiplantae; Streptophyta; Magnoliopsida; Fabales; Fabaceae
Description: Pisum sativum (pea) long non-coding RNA (PSAT_LNC028978)
Source: RNAcentral